Hemicordylus capensis (graceful crag lizard) is the source of this 785-nucleotide long non-coding RNA. RefSeq lists it as uncharacterized. The transcript is spliced from 2 exons. The record is from RefSeq and is a predicted model, not a curated record. NCBI's taxonomy places the organism in Eukaryota, Metazoa, Chordata, Lepidosauria, Squamata, Cordylidae.
CGGGGCGGCUGCGUUGCUAGCCACGCGCGGCCCCGCUUCCCCGCUCGCUCGACCUCUCCUCACGCGCGGCCACCCCUGGGACUGCCUCCUGCCGGUGCUGGGCUAUGCCCUGCUGCGGAGCAGCAACAUCGGCGCUGCGCCUGGGCCACUCGUGUAUGACGACGACCUUCCUCGCUGCUUGUUGUUAUGAAUUCAGAGCGGUUUGGGUGCUUUCGGUGUGAAUGAAACAUGGUGAUUGCAGCUGGCCAGCAAUUUUGCUUCAGCAGUCAGCAAAAGACACUAUCCAUUCCCAUUCCUAUCUCGAUGAAUAAUCUGGCUGUCAGCACAAUCUUUCUGCUCGCAGGGAACCCAAGAAGGAUGGGGGAUGCCCACAUGUUAUGGCAAAGCAACAAAGGGGCCAAGCAGUGUGGAAGGCGUUCCAGUGCCUCAGAUUGAGCAACUGAUCAGUCAACCCAGAGGGUUAAAGGAACAGCAGCCAGCUGGUACCUGAGAGGCAUAGAAGGAGAAAGCACACUACAGACGCCAGCAAAAGGUGGCUGGCUGGUGAGGCUGUUGGAAAUGAAACUCUAUGUAUGAAGGCCAAGUGAGUCAUGCAGGAACUUGAGAAGUUCAGGCCAAAGAACUCCAGCAUUAAAAUUCUGAGUGCAAUUUUAACAUUUUACCUAAUGUACUAUACUGUAAUUCUUAAGAUUAGAUGAAUCUACAUUACAACAUAGACAGGGCCACACUGAAAACAUCACCUGUGAGUUUGGUUCCUCUCCCCCCAUAAAGCAUAUUACAAUUUA